Molecule: ribosomal RNA, 253 nt
Filed under: uncultured bacterium
Lineage: Bacteria
Description: partial 16S ribosomal RNA
Rfam family: Bacterial small subunit ribosomal RNA
Source: RNAcentral
UACGGAGGGGGCUAGCGUUGUUCGGAAUUACUGGGCGUAAAGCGCGCGUAGGCGGCUUUGCAAGUCAGAGGUGAAAGCCUGGAGCUCAACUCCAGAACUGCCUUUGAAACUGCAUCGCUAGAAUCAUGGAGAGGUUAGUGGAAUUCCGAGUGUAGAGGUGAAAUUCGUAGAUAUUAGGAAGAACACCAGUGGCGAAGGCGGCUCACUGGCCCGGUACUGACGCUGAGGCGCGAAAGCGUGGGGAGCAAACAGG